AUUGAACGCUGGCGGCAUGCCUUACACAUGCAAGUCGAACGGCAGCAUGGAGAGCUUGCUCUCUGAUGGCGAGUGGCGAACGGGUGAGUAAUGCAUCGGAACGUACCGUGUAAUGGGGGAUAACGUAGCGAAAGUUACGCUAAUACCGCAUACGACCUGCGGGUGAAAACAGGGGAUCGCAAGACCUUGCGUUAUCCGAGAGGCCGAAGUCAGAUUAGCUAGUUGGGGAGGUAAAGGCUCACCAAGGCGACGAUCUGUAGCGGGUCUGAGAGGAUGAUCCGCCACACUGGGACUGAGACACGGCCCAGACUCCUACGGGAGGCAGCAGUGGGGAAUUUUGGACAAUGGGGGCAACCCUGAUCCAGCCAUGCCGCGUGAGUGAAGAAGGCCUUCGGGUUGUAAAGCUCUUUCGGCCGGGAAGAAAUCGCACAGGCUAAUACUCUGUGUGGAUGACGGUACCCGCAUAAGGAGCACCGGCUAACUGCGUGCCAGCCGCCGCAGUAA
Molecule: ribosomal RNA, 504 nt
Filed under: uncultured bacterium
Lineage: Bacteria
Description: partial 16S ribosomal RNA
Rfam family: Bacterial small subunit ribosomal RNA
Source: RNAcentral